Molecule: unclassified non-coding RNA, 2114 nt
Filed under: Manduca sexta (tobacco hornworm)
Lineage: Eukaryota; Metazoa; Arthropoda; Insecta; Lepidoptera; Sphingidae
Description: high mobility group-T protein, transcript variant X1
Source: RNAcentral
GAGUUACAGCAACAAGCGCAGCAGCAAGCGUUAGCCCAAGCCACAGCGAAUAAGGGCAGGAUGCCGCGCGCACGGCCGUACAACAAACCGCGCGGUCGCAUGACGGCGUACGCGUUCUUCGUGCAGACCUGCCGCGAGGAGCACAAGAAGAAACACCCCGACGAGAAUGUCAUCUUCGCUGCCUUCUCUAAGAAGUGCGCUGAGAGGUGGAAUACAAUGUCAGAGAAAGAAAAGCAGAGGUUCCACGAGAUGGCUGAGCAGGACAAGCAGCGGUUCGACCUGGAAAUGCAGAGCUACGUGCCGCCCAAGGACGUGAAGAUCAGGGGACGCAAGCGGCAGACGUUGAAGGAUCCCAACGCGCCAAAGCGAUCGUUAUCAGCGUUCUUCUUGUUCUGCAACGACGAACGUUCUAAAGUGAAGGCUGGCAACCCUGAGUAUACAAUGGGCGACAUCGCCAAGGAGUUGGGCCGGCGCUGGGCCGCGGCGGAUCCGGAAACUAAGGCUAAAUACGACGCACUCUCUGAACAGGACAAGGCGCGGUAUGACAGGGAGAUGACGGCGUACAAGAAAGGUCCGUUAGUAGCAGCGCCGCCCCCCGCCCCCGCGCCGCCGCACCUCGCCGUCCGCGCCGCCGACGACAUUGACGACGCGCCCGACUACGAACAUGACGAUGAAUAUAACUGAACCAUUACUGCGUACUGCACUACCACACAACUAUAGGCGUAGCUGGCAUCCUCUAAAAGCGAGGGAGGGGGGCCUGCUUCCGACACUACAAACAACUUUUGUGUCCUUUAACUUUUAGACUUCGACACUACACCGUACACUAAAUGUAUACACUCGCUCAGUGCAUACAGUCACUCGGUGAAUAGAUUCAUUCAGUGCGUACAGUCACUCGGUGAAUAGAUUCACUCAGUGCAUACACUUACUCAAUGUGUACACUCAUUCAGUGUCGUAGUCUAAACUGUAUAUUAUAAUUGCUAUUGAUAAUUUGGUGGUUUUAAAAAUUAGUAGUAUCCUCAACAUCCUAUAAUGGAUACCACAUAGUGGGUGUGCACAGGACCCCUUGCUACGCCUAUGACGCGACAGUUAGUACACUAUAGCUACAUUAACGAAAUAUUUGUGAGUGUAAUGCUGAGUACCAUUUUCGGUUUUGGUUGAGUAUGUUAUCGAAUAUGUGAAGGGAGAACAUUACUUUUGCACCAAUCAACCAAUCGGUCAACGAGUUGGCUGAAUUGUUAAUAACACACACAGAAACUCGUUUUGCUAAUAUUGCUAUAGUAUACUAAAUUUUAUGGUUUUUCAAACCGUUUGACUUGACCCCUGAAACUUGUGUAUAAUUUUAUAUACUGAACUAUUUUUAUUAAAAGACCACAGUGGCAUGGCCCACGUGUUUUCAAAAAUGAAUGUGUUAUGUAUUUUGAUAAAUUUGACGUACCGUCGGUCGGUGUUUAGUAGAGACUGAAACAAACCAUGUUAGAUAGAGUAUUCUUUUAUAAAUAUUUUUGAUUUAGGUCUGUUCUCGGUCUAAAUGCGGUUGUAGUCUACGGAAUAUACUUGAACGCGACUGUGUCGUACCAAGACAAUGUUAAUUUACAUUAUAUUGUAUGUAUUCGGUAAUUGUUUAAACUUUAUGUUGAUUUUUAACCAUAAAACAGAGGAAAUUAUAUUUUGUUGUUGUAAAUCAUUUGAUUUGAGUUUAAUUCUGUUGUGUAUCGCCACAGUGCGCUACGGCGGCAAUACAUUUUGAAAAUGUUUUUAAAUAUGGCUCUUGAUAAUGUAUGAGUUGGUUAGGUCGAGGUUAAGUGGCCUUAUAAUUUUUAAUUUAAGGUCGUGGUAACAUUGAAUCGUCAACAAUUAGGUGAUAUUGUUUAGUGAUGUAACGCAAAACUGGAGGUGUCAGGAGCGGUUGCAGCCACAUCGAGUGACAUGGAAUUUGUCUCACGGUGAAGCAAUUGUAUAAACAAUUCAGCAAUUCCAAGGAAUCACUUGUGUAUUAAAGUUAUAGUGGAAACAUUGAACGAGAACAUAUUUUAAGCUGUGUGUAACAGGGGCGAUAUUGUUUUGAAUUUGUAAAUUACUCUGUACAAAACAAUAUAGUGAAUCUUUUACACAAA